GGCCUCGUAGCUCAGCUGGUAGAGCAUGCGCGUACAAAGCGUAGGCGGUGUCCAUGUGUGGGUUCGAAUCCCACCGAGGCUA
This is a non-coding RNA of Echinostoma caproni, 82 nucleotides long. NCBI's taxonomy places the organism in Eukaryota, Metazoa, Platyhelminthes, Trematoda, Plagiorchiida, Echinostomatidae. The record is from Rfam.